CGGCGCACAUAAGACAUGCAAGUCGAACGGACUAACUUCUAGCUUGCUAGAAGAGCGGUUAGUGGCGGACUGGUGAGUAACACGUAAGAAAUCUGCCUAUCAGAGGGGAAUAACAGUGAGAAAUCAUUGCUAAUACCGCAUAUGCCAUAAUCAUCGCAUGAUGAUAGUGGGAAAGAAGCAAUUCGCUGAUAGAUGAGCUUGCGGCUGAUUAGCUAGUUGGUGGGGCAACGGCCUACCAAGGCGACGAUCAGUAGCCGGACUGAGAGGUUGAACGGCCACAUUGGGACUGAGAUACGGCCCAGACUCCUACGGGAGGCAGCAGUCGGGAAUAUUGCGCAAUGGAGGCAACUCUGAACCGCAGUGACGCCGCGUAUAGGAAGAAGGUUUUCGGAUUGUAAACUAUUGUCCACAGGGAAGAUAAAAGACUGUACCUGUGAAGAAAGCUCCGGCUAACUACGUGCCAGCAGCCGC
Molecule: ribosomal RNA, 471 nt
Filed under: uncultured bacterium
Lineage: Bacteria
Description: bacterial SSU rRNA
Rfam family: Bacterial small subunit ribosomal RNA
Source: RNAcentral